Molecule: unclassified non-coding RNA, 747 nt
Filed under: Hevea brasiliensis (rubber tree)
Lineage: Eukaryota; Viridiplantae; Streptophyta; Magnoliopsida; Malpighiales; Euphorbiaceae
Source: RNAcentral
GAAGGCGAUAUGUUUUCCCUGUCAAAGAUGGGAACAUCAUUUCAAAGUUUGAACUUGAGCAUCAGGAAAUACUUCAAAAGAAAUAUAAUGACAUAAUAAUAAAGGAAGCUUCAGAGAGACAUGAAAUUGGUGAGAAGAACACAAAUUUCAUGGGUCAAUAGGAAUUUAAUACAAUUAUCUUCCAAUAACAAGUCGAAGGCUGCACACAUACAUCACUUGAAAUACCCUUUUCCAUGAACAGGUGAAAACUUUGUUUCCAAUAGAACUCGGAAGCAAUUGACAAGCAACAAAAUGUGCCAGUCUUCAAUUUUCAACCUAUUACCAAAUAACUAGGGAGAGAACGCAAAACACAUUCACAAGGAACACCCAUCUGUCCCCAGUAUUGCUUCAUUCACUUAAUUGGUACUCUUUCCCACAUCAGUUAUUUUACAUGAUACAGAGUUACAGAUAAUUGGUAAAUAAGAACAGGAAAUAGCAAAAGAUACUUAUAGGAAAACUGAAAAUUAUACACAUUCAAAAGUUUUUUUUUUUUAACCUUCUAACGUAUUACAAAAUUAAUUUCAAGAGCCCAAUAGAGCACAGUAAAAUCAACAUGAUAAUAAACUACUACGCAUAUGUGUGCCUAAUUUGGAUUGUCAAAAAGCGAUCUGCAAUGAAAGAUUUGGGAAGCAUACGAGCUAUUUCUCAUUCAAAAAGGCACAAACAAGUUCUAUUUUAGUAACAUAACAGAAAUAGAUUCUUCAUCAC